GUGAUUUUGUCUGGAGUUGUUCAGUUCACAUGUGAUGUGGGAAGAGGAACCGAAGUGAGAUUGGGUCCUAUUGGUGAUCAUGAAAGUGUUUCCAGUGACACUGGUAUGCACUGGACUUGGAUGUCUAGAGUGAGUUUCUGAGAAAUAAACAGUAACGUGAGUGAGGAAAACACAAGUUGGAGAUCAUUUAUCAGCUGGAAGGUGAAGCCAAAAGCAGUGGAAGCAGGGGGUUACCUCCUGGGCUGGGAAGAGGACCCGUUCCAGUACAAAAAUAGAUGUGUGCUCAGUAAUGCAUUGGCAUCAUCGGACUUCGAAGAGUGUCUCUAAAACCUAGAGGAGACGGUGGGUCUAUUCCUUUCCAGCUGUGGCCUUGGGUCUGUCUGCAGUUCCUACUCAUGUUUCAAGGGCUGGUAGCAAAAUUUUGGUGUAGUGGUAGCCUUUCUGCUCCUUUACCGGGAGACAAGAAAGAUGAUAAUAUUUCUUUGGGAAGGGGAGGCAAAAUGCAAUAAUCUAGGUAGUGUGGCGUGUAUAUAGAGCUCCUAUACAUGUAUUAGAGGAAGGGUUAAUUCAGAGACAGCUGUGCUCCUAAGGAGCAAAUGAAGGAAAGAUUUCCUGCUGAGCUCUUAAGUGCAGUCUCUGGGGAUAAUGGGAGGAGAGUAGCUGAAGAUAGAAAACAGUGAGCCAAGACCAAAUCCCCAGAGAAGACAUAUGUAAGUGUUCUCAAGUGAUGCUUUGCCAGUAUCUUUUUCCCUUGGUACUAGAACAGGUUUUGAAGUCGUGAGUCAAUACUUGAAAGUGUUCUUCAGUUCUGUGGGCUUUUAAAAAUGGUAGCUAGGGCGUUUAGGUUGUGGAGAUUUGUUUACAGCAAUUUUGACUGUAUUCUCAGUCUGUGUAUUGGGAGGACUGAGGCAGUGCAGGGGGACUGGUCUAAACACAGAGCAGAAAUUAAAUGAUUGGGGCUCCCUCCUCCUCCAGCCCUGGCCACCCUGUGAAUCAAAAGGCCGGUCUUGAGAGGCCAUAGAGUCCUGAACAUGCACCAUGGUAUGCUGAAGGGAGAUGGGGGCUGGUUUCAGGAGCAGAUCAGAAACCAGGGAUACCUGUGCUUUGUUGUGAGAGGAAGCAGGGUGCAUGCAGCUGAGCCCCAGGACAAUGUCAGCCUCAGCAGCCCUUAGUUGCUUCCUUCCACAGCCAAAGAUUUGGAUUUCAUGUCAGCCUGCGUGCCAGCACAGCCCUGUUGAUACCUCUCUGGGAUGGGAAUGGCAUCUGAACAUUUCACAGUCUGCAUGUGACUCAAGGUGGUCAUGCCAGAUCUUCUCCCAGACCUUUACUGCUUCUCUUCAGAAGUUGAGCACCUACAAGCAGAUUUACAAAACUCUAAAGCUUUGGUUGCCUUCCUUUAGGCAAACCUUGUAUCUCUAAAUGUACAUGUUAAAUAUUUUACCUGGAUGGUUAGAGGUGUUGAGCACUUCUUGCUCUUCUGUGGUUAAGUGGAAGUUGAUGGUAUACUGACUGUCCGGAUUGGAAACAAAAAACCUGAGAGGUCCCUGUUCUAGUAAGGGCCCACUUGGCUGCAUGCUUAGGAAUAGUGGCUGGGAAUCAUGCCUACAAAGAGCCUCUAGAGAUGUUUCAGCAGUAGGGAAAGGGAAGAAAGGGCAACGUUAUUUGGACCAUCAGUCAUGAAAGUUUUCCUGUUGGGGAAAGAAUAAGAGGGGAAAAGGGGCUGGUACUUGGGACCUGUAACCUUUAAAAGAGACUGAAUAGAAGUCCCAGGUGGAAACACAUAAUUUGCUGUGUCCAUCGCCAAGGAAGAGACACAAGAUCUGGGGUGCAUGGCAUCUUUUCUUCUGUCUGUAAAGCAGUGGUAAGUUACUACAGCUUUGGAGUUUUUCCACAUGUAGAGGUGAAAUUGUGUACAAGUGAGGUGCUGAAUUCUGUGCCUCCCUCUGGGGCACCUCACUAUCUUCUGCAAAGUGUCUCAAAUGCAGCAAGACUUUUCCCCUACAAAGAGAUGAAACCUUGAUGAGAUUUUUUGAUAUGUCAUCUCUAGCUUGACCUGAUUCUCUUAGAACUUCCAAGUACCUGUAAAUUAAGGGCCACAGAAGAAGAAGAAGAAAAAAAUAGUGCAUUAAAAUGAGUGUGAUGAAGUGGAGAAUCAGGCCUUCUGAGGAAAUUUGUUGUUUUUUUUAGAAAUAUAUGAUAACAAAGAUCAAAUGAGCAAACCCUUACCAACAAAAAAAACAAUAUUA
Long non-coding RNA from Dromaius novaehollandiae (emu), 2246 nucleotides. RefSeq lists it as uncharacterized. The record is from RefSeq and is a predicted model, not a curated record. NCBI's taxonomy places the organism in Eukaryota, Metazoa, Chordata, Aves, Casuariiformes, Dromaiidae. The transcript has 3 exons.